GGAGUGUAGCUCACUGGUACAGUGUUUGCCUAGCAAGCACAAGGCCUGGAUUCCAUCUCCAGCAUCACCA
RNAcentral lists this transfer RNA (70 nucleotides) under Ictidomys tridecemlineatus (thirteen-lined ground squirrel). RNAcentral describes it as "Spermophilus tridecemlineatus (thirteen-lined ground squirrel) tRNA". It matches the Rfam family "tRNA". Rfam says of the family: Transfer RNA (tRNA) molecules are approximately 80 nucleotides in length. Their secondary structure includes four short double-helical elements and three loops (D, anti-codon, and T loops). Further hydrogen bonds mediate the characteristic L-shaped molecular structure. tRNAs have two regions of fundamental functional importance: the anti-codon, which is responsible for specific mRNA codon recognition, and the 3' end, to which the tRNAs corresponding amino acid is attached (by aminoacyl-tRNA synthetases). tRNAs cope with the degeneracy of the genetic code in two manners: having more than one tRNA (with a specific anti-codon) for a particular amino acid; and 'wobble' base-pairing, i.e. permitting non-standard base-pairing at the 3rd anti-codon position. Lineage: Eukaryota; Metazoa; Chordata; Mammalia; Rodentia; Sciuridae. The record is from Rfam by way of RNAcentral.